RNAcentral lists this long non-coding RNA (357 nucleotides) under Setaria viridis. Its description in RNAcentral is "long non-coding RNA (SVIR_LNC003967)". Lineage: Eukaryota; Viridiplantae; Streptophyta; Magnoliopsida; Poales; Poaceae. The record is from RNAcentral.
GGAGAGUCAUCACAUUAUCUGUGACUAUUGGUGAGUAAGCAAUAUGUUGCGAAGAGUUCUGAGGAGAAAAAGAAAAAAAAUUAUGGAAAAAGAAAGAAAGAAGGAAAGAAAAAGAAAAAAGAAAGAGAGAAAUGAGAAAAGAAAAAUAAAAAAAAUAAAGUACUCCUCAAUUCUUUGAGCUUCAUAAAGAUCCCAAGUGCUUUAAAGAUUAAGGAUUAUUCCAUACUCAUUUUUCCAACAAUGUGCAAUCCAAUUAUAAGAACUUCAUUUGUGCCUCACGAUCAUACUUUGCCCUUGCACAUGUCCACUAUUUAAAUGUGUGUCUUCAUUCUCUCCCUCUCCAUAAAUAAUUAUUUU